Molecule: ribosomal RNA, 497 nt
Filed under: uncultured bacterium
Lineage: Bacteria
Description: partial 16S ribosomal RNA
Rfam family: Bacterial small subunit ribosomal RNA
Source: RNAcentral
GAUGAACGCUGGCGGCGUGCCUAAUACAUGCAAGUCGAGCGAACAGACGAGGAGCUUGCUCCUCUGACGUUAGCGGCGGACGGGUGAGUAACACGUGUAUAACCUACCUAUAAGACUGGGAUAACUUCGGGAAACCGGAGCUAAUACCGGAUAACAUGCUGAACCGCAUGGUUCAACAGUGAAAGACGGUCUUGCUGUCACUUAUAGAUGGAUCCGCGCCGCAUUAGCUAGUUGGUAAGGUAACGGCUUACCAAGGCAACGAUGCGUAGCCGACCUGAGAGUGUGCUCGGCCACACUGGAACUGAGACACGGUCCAGACUCCUACGGGAGGCAGCAGUCGGGAAUCUUCGGCAAUGGGCGAAAGCCUGACGGAGCAACGCCGCGUGAGUGAAGAAGGUCUUCGGAUCGUAAAACUCUGUUAUUGGGGAGGAACAAAUGUGUAAGUUACUGUGCACGUCCUGACGGUACCUAAUCAGAAAGCCACGGCUAACUACGUG